AGCAAAUGGUGUCCAAAGAGAUCUCGUCGAUAGUGAUGAUGACAUAGUGGUUAUAUAGGAAAGGGAGCCGCUAGGGGUCAGACUACUGAUCCCUUGCUUCCAUCAGCCCAGUCCAAGGCCGUAGGAUUGGAAGCAUGUAGGUCGUCGGAUCUGCUAGUAGAAUUCUGCCUGUGGACUGUUGUUGGAUUGAUCCGUUAAUUAGGUGUGUCGUCAUAACUGGUCCCCCAAAAUUAGCUCGACCCUGUGUAUCCUCGCUAACUACCUCUCUCCUGCCGUUUAUUCCCCCUCGAGUAGAUUCCUAAUCUGCAGAUUUUUUCAUAAACGUGCGGCCCACACAUGCAACCUUCUAUGUUUUCUGUACGAUUACGUUUGCUUCCAAUUAAUUGCUUCCUUUAUAAGAUUCCACGACAUAUAUUUGCUUCCUUGGACUUGUUAAUUUGCUUCCUGCGUCUGAUUAAUAUGCUUCAACUACAACCGUUUUUUCUCGAUUGACCUGAAAUGCAUGUUCGAUCUAAUAGAAACUUAUGUCACACAGCAAGAAUUUGUUUAUAUUGACAAGAAAAUUUGCUUCUAUUGCAACUUAUAUUUGCUUCUAUGGACAACAAUUAAAUUUGCUUCCACUAAAACAUAAAUUAUACAUUGUUUCAAAGCAAACAAAAUUUUGCUUCCAAAGAAAGCAGAGUCUGCUUCGAUGCAACAUCGCCCUAAUACAACAAAACAACAGAAAAUAAUUAUAUUACAACAAAAAUAUGAUACAAGGCGGAUUGUCUCGGGCUGUAGUGACUGCGCUAGGGAAUGCAUAAGCAGAAGAUUGCCGAAAGGAAGUUGUUGCCUUCAUGAUGGCAGCAAGCAGUGGGACGCCGACACCAUCAAUUGCUCGUAACACGGUGAUAUCCUUCUUGGUUGCAUGGUGGUAGAAGAUAGAGCUCACGCAUUCAAGCAUGGGCGCAAAUGCAUCGCCAAGUCGAUGGACUACGUGACAAGGACAUCAUAAUGGAGGGCCUUGGUCACUGUCUCCCCCCAUGUCACCACUAUCUCCUCCAUUGCCUUCAAAUAGACACCGCCAAUAUUGUGGGGAGAGGUCCGUGCGAGGUGUUUGAGACACCAAUAAUGCAUGUGUGGCGUGUUGUAGCUCGAAACAUUUGAACAAAAGAAGCACACGUGAGAUGAGAGAUGGCUUGAUCUAUCACAACAUAAAUUAUAGGCAAUGGAGGCAUAGAAAAAUGAGAUAAGUAUGGCCUACAUGAAGCAACGAAUUGAUCGUAUGUCAGAACAUAAAUGAUAGUUUGUGGAAGCAUGGAAAAUUGAGAUGAAGAAAUACUCAUUGUUAUAGAAACAUAUGUGAAACAUAAAAGUAGGAAGCAUGACUUACACGUAGGCGUGAUUUGAUCAAUCAAAACAUACAUGAUAGGCCGUCAAAGCAUAUAAAAUUGAGAUAAAUAGAAAAUUCACUACUACAGGAACCGUAUGCGAAGCAUACAAGUAGGAAGCAUGGCUUACACGAAAGAGCGAUUUGAUUGAUCAAAACAUACAUGAUAUGCAGUGGAAGCACAGAAAUUUAGUACUAUAUGGAACAUAUGCGAAACAAAAAAUAUAGAAAGCAUGGCUUACACGAAGCAAUGAGUUGAUCUAUCACAACAUACAUGGGGCGGAGUUUUGAUUAAAAUGGUGUUGAAAAAUAAUAAAACAUUAGAAUCACACACAAAAGUAGAAACAAAGACUAUGUAAGAAAACUUUGUAUACCACAGAGACACGGUUAAUAUAAUAUGGGCAUGGCAUAUUACAACAUUCUAUGAAAGAUGAAGCAGAAAGUAUGGAAGCAUUCUAUGUAACCAAAGGAGCAUAUGGAGUAUAAUUUGGAAGCCCUGACAGCACGAAGCAUGAAAAUGUGUUAUCUUAACAUAACUAGUCUUAUUUUGAAGCAUAGAAAUUUGGAAAUAGAAAUUAAGUAAGAUUGCUACCAACAUGGGGAUGAAUGUUUGUGUCAACUAGAUACCAAAAAUGUUGAAGUAUGGAAGCAAACUAUCUAGACAGAAGAAGCAUAUGUAAAAUUAUUUGGAAGCUCCUUUAGUAGGAAGCAUGAAAAGCCUGUUAUCUCAACAUGACACAUCUUACUAGGAAGCUCCUUGAGUAAGAAGCAUGGAAAGAUUGAUCUAGGAACAGAAUUAGUAUUAGUUGGAAGCAUGGAAAACUGAACAUAAACUAGUACUGCCUCAACACGAGGAUGCAUAUUUGUGUGACAUGCAUACUAAAUUCAUGGGAUUUCGUUGAUGAUUAGUGAUCUAGUAGACAUUAGAUAGAAUAGACUGACACCCAAUAGAACAAACCAAAGAUAUGAACAUAGAUAACAAUCAAUACUCAGAACACAAAUCUCUACCAUUGCAGAAAUUAAAUGUAUCAAGUUGGAAUGACUCAAACCCUAGGUCAGAUGAGGAUGGUGCAGGGAGGCGACUCGUGCUAUCGUCCGCGCGUUCCCAACAUGAGACAUGCAGCAGGUAUGAGUGUGGCGGGGUUAGGAUCCUGGCAAAGAACAGAGGCUGACAUGUGGCAGGCGAGCUCGGCGGUGAGCCGGUGAGCAGGGUGCAACCCCGAACGCAGCCGAUUCUACUGAUGGGAAGCCCGGCGAAGCACGAAUCGAAGUUGAGGAUGGGGCUCGACCUCCUAAUGCCAGGAAGUAUGACGCACCUGCGAUGUCGCCCAGGAGUCGCAUUGGUGGAUAUGACGAUGGGGUAGCCAUACUGCUCGGCAACGAGGAGCGAAGAAGGAGCAGGGGGCGGAGCUGGCCGGUGAGGACACAGUGUUGCUGGGCGAAGAAGAGGAAAAGAGGCAGCUGCGUGCGAGGCGGACGGAGAAGGAGGUUGUGGAUUCCGGGUGAGGUGAGCGAGGAGCCCGGCACGUUGCGUGCGGUUGGGGACGAGGACGAUGGAGUCGGGAGGAUUAGGGAGAGAUAGGAUUACACGCGGGGAUUCGGGGUGAUUAGUCAGAUGGGAUUUUUUUCUAUUUUUUAUUUAGUACAUACGAAGCAAAAUCCUGAACCUUAGAUUCGAUUGAAUCGACGGCGUUUGAGUGGUC
This 3072-nucleotide long non-coding RNA is filed under the name Triticum aestivum (bread wheat). RNAcentral describes it as "long non-coding RNA (TAES_LNC010084)". The record is from RNAcentral. Lineage: Eukaryota; Viridiplantae; Streptophyta; Magnoliopsida; Poales; Poaceae.